ACGACAUUUUGCGAAAAUCACCUCCCCUUUCCUCCGACAAACAACACACUCCCCGCGCCAGAGCCAGAGCUCCCUUGCUCGUCUCCCCCUCGCCGGAGCUCCCCCGCGCCAGAGCUCACCUCCUCUGCUCCCCCGCACAGCUCUCCCGCGCGUCGCCGGAGCUCCCUCUCCCCACGCCACUGCCGCGUUGCUUCCCCCCUCCUCGUUCCUCUCAUCGUCCCCCCAUGGCGAAUCACGGCGAGGAAGGCUCGACUUUUUUCGAUCUGCUAUCCGACGGCGUCCUUCCCCGAGGGCGGCGAGCCGGAGCUUCCCCUGCGCGUCGUCGACCACCUCCUCAUUGGCUGGACGCCGUCGACCACGAACCCAGUAUUCUCCAAGCGCACGCCGCUGUGUGGGUCGCCGAGAUGCCGAGGCCGAGGCGGAGCUCCAGGCCAUCGAGGUCGCGUACGCCGCCGAGUCCGGCAAGCGCCGCCAACUCCCAGACUGGUCCAAGGCACCCGCCCCCGCCUCCGUCUGCCCAUAGCCCAACCCAGUCCCCUCGCCCCCCUCCUGCCAAGUGGACUUCACAUUCCAAAGGAGGGACAGAAUCUGGAGUAAUUGAUUAUUUCCAAAAUCUGGAGUAAUCUUCUCAAGUUACAUGAUCAGUUGUGCUUGACUGAAAAUUUUCACAGGAAAAUUUUGACUGGAGUAACAGAGGCAUAACAGUACAAAUUACAGUUAACAGAACCUGAACCUGAACUUUUUAACCUUCCCUCUCCCUUUCAUGCGAAUGUGGAUGUUGCACACUAUUGUGAAGGUGUAGCACUGCCCAAUUAAAUUUCCACUUCACAUAUCUACUUCAAUUUCUACUACAAAUUCACCUUUUCAACAGCAGACGCGGGGCAGAGAAGUCAGACGGCGAGGAUGAGCAGAAGCAUCAGACGGCGAGGAGGAGCAGAAGCAUCAGACGGCGAGGACUCGAUCUGGGGGCGUUGGCUUCGCCCAACAGCUGCAGCAUCAGAGGCUGGAGGGAAUCGCGGCGGCAGCAGAAGGAAGCGGCGGCCGGCGACUUGCCCAAAUCCCGCACCGGCGGCCGCGGGCGCGAGGAAGCGGGCAGAGGAUGAGGGCGCGGGCCGCACCGGCUAGGGACGCGAGCAGGGCGACGAGGGAGGUGCCUUCAGCCGUGGAGGAGGCGGGCGUCCAGUUGGUCGCCGCGGAGGAGCAGUCACCUCCGUGUGGGCGGCGGCGCAGCUCGCCUUCGUGCAGGCGGCGCAGGCGGGCAGGGGCGCCGCGGAUUGGCAGCGGCGGCGCAGCGGCGACGCAGGUGGACGGCAGCGCGCUGGGCUCUACGGUGGCUGCCGACGGCGCGCUGGGCUUGUUCCUGCCGCGGGCGUCCGGAGGAGGAAGAAGCAAAGGGGUAAUUAGCAGGAGAUUUAAAAUCCUAAGGGUUUAUUUGCAAAAAUCAUAAUGAACUACGCCGUGGACAACUUUUCCCGGACGGAGGGUUCUGCAUUCAACUGUCGACGUGUGUAACCUGCAGUGGUUAUGUUCUGUUUUUUAUUUUUAACACAAGCUUGCAAACAAUGCGGGGAAAGAAAGCAAACUAUGUAAUGCUUAUUUCACAUUGGUUUAACAAAAACUACUCCCUCCGUCCACUUUUGUAAGUCGUUUCAGACAGCUCAAAAUGGGCUGUUUUGCACAUUGUCUGAAAUGUCUUCAAGGUCUUAUAAAAGUGAACAGAGGGAGUAAAAGUAAUAUACCAGCUCUCCCUGGCUGUGUUGUUUC
Long non-coding RNA from Triticum dicoccoides, 1764 nucleotides. RefSeq lists it as uncharacterized. NCBI's taxonomy places the organism in Eukaryota, Viridiplantae, Streptophyta, Magnoliopsida, Poales, Poaceae. The record is from RefSeq and is a predicted model, not a curated record. The transcript is spliced from 3 exons.